AUCCCCCACACUGGUACUGAGACACGGACCAGACUCCUACGGGAGGCAGCAGUGAGGAAUAUUGGACAAUGGGCGCAAGCCUGAUCCAGCCAUGCCGCGUGCAGGAUGACGGUCCUAUGGAUUGUAAACUGCUUUUGUACGAGAAGAAACACUGCUUCGUGAAGCAGCUUGACGGUAUCGUAAGAAUAAGGAUCGGCUAACUCCGUGCCAGCAGCCGCGGUAAUACGGAGGAUCCAAGCGUUAUCCGGAAUCAUUGGGUUUAAAGGGUCCGUAGGCGGUUUAGUAAGUCAGUGGUGAAAGCCCAUCGCUCAACGGUGGAACGGCCAUUGAUACUGCUGAACUUGAAUUAUUAGGAAGUAACUAGAAUAUGUAGUGUAGCGGUGAUAUGCUUAGAGAUUACAUG
Molecule: ribosomal RNA, 403 nt
Filed under: uncultured Flavobacteriales bacterium
Lineage: Bacteria; Pseudomonadati; Bacteroidota; Flavobacteriia; Flavobacteriales
Description: bacterial SSU rRNA
Rfam family: Bacterial small subunit ribosomal RNA
Source: RNAcentral